This 90-nucleotide transfer RNA is filed under the name Nitrososphaerota archaeon. Its description in RNAcentral is "Thaumarchaeota archaeon tRNA-Phe". It matches the Rfam family "tRNA". From Rfam's summary of the family: Transfer RNA (tRNA) molecules are approximately 80 nucleotides in length. Their secondary structure includes four short double-helical elements and three loops (D, anti-codon, and T loops). The record is from RNAcentral. Lineage: Archaea; Thermoproteati; Nitrososphaerota.
GCCAGGGUAGCUCAGCCUGGGAGACCCUUUAGGCCUGUGAGCACCCGGCUGAAGACCGGGCUGUCGCAGGUUCAAAUCCUGCCCCUGGCA